GUCCCCAGGCAGCCACAGAGAUGGCCGUGCCCUCUAUUGCCUCUUGAGUACGGCAAGAGAGAAAACUCCAGACUGUGGAUUCCGAGCAGCGGAGCCAGCCUCCGGCAGUUCUGGAAGAAGGAGAUGGGGGGUGGGGCUCCCAACCGGCCAGUUCCAAGCAGCGAGGCCUUGGGGGCGUGGCUUCACCCCGUGGAACUAGAGAAAACCUCAGGAGCUCUGCUGAUGUUCCAACGCCAGCUUCCUGGUUGUACUGUUGGGCUGAGUUACGCAACACGUUACUGCGGGGCUCACAGAGGCGCCUGGAACGCGGUACGUGGUCCGAAGGAGCUGGCUCCCGUGUUACGGUUGCCAUGAGGCGUGAUGUAACAACAUAGGGCACCGGCCAGGAACAGAGGGACCUCCUCGGAAGGAUUAACUGCCCACCUGUCACUGCCGGGCGGCGAAUGACCUUGGGCAAGUCACAAGACGUCCUGGGGUCUGCCGGCCUCCUUUGUAAAAAGAGGUCUCUGGUGUGGACAUCUAGGGGACAGUCUGCCCACCACUCGUGCGUGCGUUUUCCCGAGACCCCCUCCUGGUGCCCACCCCUACCCUCUUUGGGAGAGCUUCUGGCUCUUCCUUUAGACUUCCCUAAAAAAAGCCUCGUCAGCCUUCUGGACUCCAUGCGCCCCAGUGGGGCCGCAUCCACGGUGUGACCCAGGGCCACCGGCACCAUUUGCAAAAUGAACACGCGGGCCCCUUGGUCAACCACUGCUAAGAAUUUCAUUAAGCCAAGUGGGGGCCCCUCUGAGUAUCUCCCCCUGGAGCCCUGGAGGGUCUCCCCAACCCUCCUCUGUGGGACCUUGUUCCUCAUCUUGUCUGACUUCCUCCUCCCGCCCAACUUCCCUACCUUCCCGCCAGUGUCCCCCGGGAACUUUCCUAACAAAGCGCUUUCAACAAACCCUCCUCCCCGGGUCUGUCUCAGAGGGAUCCAACCCAGACCCAGAGCAGUGCGCAGGAGGCUGGGUAUUCCAGAAGCCGAGCUGAGCUGACGCCUCACCCCAGAAUCCCCCGCCCCCACCCAUCUCCAGGGUUCAAGGGCUUGAGCGCAUGUGAUUUAAGAUCACGGGGCGGGGCUGUUAAAACUACGAAUCCUACCCGAGCAGGUAAGUUCGUUUCUGUUUUGUAAGGGGCGCUUUAUUUUGAGAACAUUUGGCAUAGGGACAUGCCUCCCAGAGACAAAUCUGGAAGAAAUGCGUAACAACACAGACACGGAAAGGGGCUUGACACAGCUCACAAAGGCAGUGACCUCUUCCAGGGUGGGCUCCGUGGGGUCUCCGGGUCUAGCGGGGCUGCUAGGUGUGCUGUGUUCCCCGGAUGGUCACACGGGGACCCAGUGCUCCCGCGAAGUCACCCAGCCAGGCGGGUCAUGCUGGCAUCGAGAGCCGGGUGUCCUGUGUCUGAGUAUCUCUGUUGAGCUGGGCAUGGCCUCCGGGGGUCAAAUCGUGUUUGGUCCAACGGUUUCCAAGGCUUAGCAGAAAGUGGAAGAAUGUUCCUGCGCGUUGGCUGGAAGAGACGCAGAGAAGGAAUGAGAGCUGCUGCUGGGGGCAGGACAGAGGUCACGGUCUGUGCCACCGCCCCCCCCCCCCAUACCAGGAAGAUAACCAGUUUCCCUAGGACUGAAUUCUUUUUUUUUAAUUUUUUGUAAUGUUUUAUUUAUUUUGGAGACAGAGAGAGACAGAGCAUGAACAGGGGAGGGGCAGAGAGAGAGGGAGACACAGAACCCGAAGCAGGCUCCAGGCUCCGAGCGGUCAGCACAGAGCCCGACGCGGGGCUCGAACCCACGGACCGUGAGAUCAUGACCUGAGCUGAAGUCGGACGCUUAAGCGGCUGAGCCACCCAGGCGCCCCAAUCCCUAGGACUGAAUUCUUAACUUACCAUCAGACUCUCUGGGCAUCAUCUUGUUUAGUUCAACGCAUCCCUCUCCGUCAUGCAAACUGCCUCUCACGCCCCACGCUACCCCGUCGCCCUCCCCGCACCCCCGCGCAUCCCCAUGGGAGGCCACUGCCCGAGGUGGGUCAGACCCACCCCAAGGACCGUUCCUGGCAUCAGCAGGUAAGAGACACGCUGGCACCAAUCCUCAAGGGCUCGAGAUCUUGCCGGAGGACUCGUGCCAGAAUGUUCUGGAAUGUGAAGCCUGAUGUUUGCCUUUCGAGGACAUUCUGGGGGGCGUUAGCUGCUUUGAAGGGCUUCUGUUUACCGUGGGCACACGUGUGGGGCCUUCACGGGGUGGGGCGGGCAUUCAGGCUUUCUUAGCAGAUGCUCCCGGUCACAGGCACACAUCUCGCUUUGGAGCAUCUCAUCUGAGAGCAGGGCCUUCCCUGGGGAACCCUCUGGUGCCAGCCUCGCCGCCGUCAUUCCGUGGUGGCCUCCCCGUGGCUCCUCGAAGCCACGGUCUCUCCUGCCUUUGGGACUCCUACUCUUCCAGCUACCCUGACCAGGCCCCGUUCCCCAGGCCGCCCCAAGGAGGCUCUUCUGUCCCGUCUCAGAUAUUGGCUCGGACGUGAGCUCCACGCACGGCCCCUCCCCAACCUGGCUACUCUCCCUCACGCCCCCGUCCGUUCCCUUCAUGACACGCAUUCCUUGCUGACUUGUGUGGUCUCCUGCCGGGGGGAGGCCCCUAGGAGCAGGAACCCCGGCCGUCCCGAAGGGCUGCUGAGGAACCGAGUGCCCGGCACGCGCCUGUCUCGGAGCUGGCACUUGACUGUAUCGUGUGACCGAGGGAGGGACAGAGGGACAGACUCCGGGGGGCAGCGGGGGACUCGUCGGCCGUUCACGGAGGCCCUAAAACCAGGCAUGGAAAGGAAGGCUGCAGCCUAGUCUUUGGAUUUAGGUCCGGGUGGUCUGGAAACUUCUGGUGAACAGAACAGCCACUUCUCGUAUACGCCUACUUGGGACACCGCAAGGGAAUUAUGAAAUUCCGGCCCCAGGUAAAACCCCACUCUCCCCCUCCCACCGGUCACCUUGGUGUGCAUGGAGUUUCCAGACGCUGCGUGACGGGCAAUAUCGCAGCGGAUCGAGUGCAGGAGUCGACGUGAGCGUCUCUCUGCUCCCCAGGCACAAAUGAGAGAUAACUGCAGAGAUGUGAACCGAUGCCCAGCUUCAAUUUGUACGUGCGUUGGAAAGUACAGUGACCUUUAAAGGAAACGCUAUUUCUCUUGAA
Molecule: long non-coding RNA, 3199 nt
Organism: Acinonyx jubatus (cheetah)
Lineage: Eukaryota; Metazoa; Chordata; Mammalia; Carnivora; Felidae
Exons: 3
Source: RefSeq, a predicted model, not a curated record